RNAcentral lists this ribosomal RNA (250 nucleotides) under uncultured bacterium. RNAcentral's name for it is "partial 16S ribosomal RNA". It matches the Rfam family "Bacterial small subunit ribosomal RNA", at positions 524 to 773 of the family's 1533-position model. The record is from RNAcentral.
UACGUAGGGUGCGAGCGUUAAUCGGAAUUACUGGGCGUAAAGCGUGCGCAGGCGGUUAUGCAAGACAGAUGUGAAAUCCCCGAGCUUAACUUGGGAAUUGCAUUUGUGACUGCAUAACUAGAGUGUGUCAGAGGGAGGUAGAAUUCCACGUGUAGCAGUGAAAUGCGUAGAUAUGUGGAGGAAUACCGAUGGCGAAGGCAGCCUCCUGGGAUAACACUGACGCUCAUGCACGAAAGCGUGGGGAGCAAAC